AAUAGAUGACGCCGUUGACUUUUUCUCACAUGUUUGACCAUUCGUCUUAUUCAAAAACUUUAUGUAAUUACAAUUUAUUUUGUUAUGAGUUGUUUUAUCACUCAUAGUACUUUAAUUGUGAUUUAUAUUUUAUACAUUUACAUAAAAUUUUUAAAUAAAACGAAUGGUCAAACAUGUGAGAAAAAGUCAACGACUUCUUAUAUU
Molecule: microRNA precursor, 204 nt
Filed under: Oryza nivara
Lineage: Eukaryota; Viridiplantae; Streptophyta; Magnoliopsida; Poales; Poaceae
Description: MIR812 microRNA precursor family
Rfam family: MIR812 microRNA precursor family
Source: Rfam by way of RNAcentral